AGCCACAGCCAUAUCACCCUGCAGCCCAAGACUGGUUACUCACUGAAGCUAAGCAGGGCUGAGCCUGGUCAGUACCUGGAUGGGAGACCACUAGGGAACACUAGGUUGCUGUUGGAA
Non-coding RNA from Danio rerio (zebrafish), 117 nucleotides. NCBI's taxonomy places the organism in Eukaryota, Metazoa, Chordata, Actinopteri, Cypriniformes, Danionidae. The record is from Rfam.